UACAGAGGGGCAAGCGUUAUUCGGAAUUAUUGGGCGUAAAGGGCGCGUAGGCGGCUUGGCAAGUGGAAGGUGAAAUCCCUCGGCUUAACCGAGGAACUGCCCUCCAAACUGCUUUGCUUGAGGCCGGGAGAGGUGAGUGGAAUUCCCAGUGUAGCGGUGAAAUGCGUAGAUAUCAGGAGGAAUACCGAUGGCGAAGGCAGGUCUCUGGGCUGACACUGACGCUCAUGCACGAAAGCGUGGGGAGCAAACAGG
RNAcentral lists this ribosomal RNA (252 nucleotides) under uncultured bacterium. RNAcentral describes it as "partial 16S ribosomal RNA". It matches the Rfam family "Bacterial small subunit ribosomal RNA", at positions 524 to 776 of the family's 1533-position model. The record is from RNAcentral.